Molecule: ribosomal RNA, 525 nt
Filed under: uncultured Sphingobacterium sp.
Lineage: Bacteria; Pseudomonadati; Bacteroidota; Sphingobacteriia; Sphingobacteriales; Sphingobacteriaceae
Description: bacterial SSU rRNA
Rfam family: Bacterial small subunit ribosomal RNA
Source: RNAcentral
GAGUUUGAUCCUGGCUCAGGAUGAACGCUAGCGGCAGGCUUAAUACAUGCAAGUCGAGGGGCAGCAUGUCCCGCAGCAAUGCGGGAUGAUGGCGACCGGCAAACGGGUGCGGAACACGUACACAACCUUCCUUUAAGCGGGGAAUAGCCCGGGGAAACCCGGAUUAAUACCCCAUAGUAUGGUGAAAGGGCAUCUUUUACUAUUAAAGAUUUAUCACUUGAAGAUGGGUGUGCGGCUGAUUAGCUAGUUGGCGGGGUAACGGCCCACCAAGGCAACGAUCAGUAACUGGUGUGAGAGCACGACCAGUCACACGGGCACUGAGACACGGGCCCGACUCCUACGGGAGGCGGCAGUAAGGAAUAUUGGUCAAUGGACGAAAGUCUGAACCAGCCAUGCCGCGUGGAGGAUGAAGGUCCUCUGGAUUGUAAACUUCUUUUAUCUGGGAACGUAAAAAGGUUUUUCUAGACCGACUGACGGUACCAGAUGAAUAAGCACCGGCUAACUCCGUGCCAGCAGCCGCUGUAA